CCCCGGGCGGCCCGCCGGCGGACAAACCAAACUCUGUUAUCUUCGUUGAUUAUCUGAGUGUCUUAUUUAAUAAGUCAAAACUUUCAACAACGGAUCUCUUGGUUCUGGCAUCGAUGAAGAACGCAGCGAAAUGCGAUAAGUAAUGUGAAUUGCAGAAUUCAGUGAAUCAUCGAAUCUUUGAACGCACAUUGCGCCCAUUAGUAUUCUAGUGGGCAUGCCUGUUCGAGCGUCAUUUCAACCCCUAAGCACAGCUUAUUGUUGGGAAUCCACGCCUGUGGUUCCUCAAAGACAUUGGCGGAGUGGCAGUAGUCCUCUGAGCGUAGUAAUUCUUUAUCUCGCUUUUGUUAGGUGCUGCCCCCCCGGCCGUAAAACCCCCAAUUUUUUCUGGUUGACCUCGGAUCAGGUAGGAAUACCCGCUGAACUUAAGCAUAUCAAUAAGCGGAGGAAAAGAAACCAACAGGGAUUCCCCUAGUAACGGCGAGUGAAGCGGGAACAGCUCAAAUUUGAAAUCUGGCCCUCGGGUCCGAGUUGUAAUUUGUAGAGGAUGCUUUUGGUGCGGUGCCUUCCGAGUUCCCUGGAACGGGACGCCUUAGAGGGUGAGAGCCCCGUACGGUUGGACGCCUAGCCUCUGUAAAGCUCCUUCGACGAGUCGAGUAGUUUGGGAAUGCUGCUCUAAAUGGGAGGUAUAUUUCUUCUAAAGCUAAAUACUGGCCAGAGACCGAUAGCGCACAAGUAGAGUGAUCGAAAGAUGAAAAGCACUUUGAAAAGAGGGUUAAAUAGCACGUGAAAUUGUUGAAAGG
Molecule: ribosomal RNA, 800 nt
Filed under: fungal endophyte
Lineage: Eukaryota; Fungi
Description: eukaryotic LSU rRNA
Rfam family: Eukaryotic large subunit ribosomal RNA (bases 390-800)
Source: RNAcentral